RNAcentral lists this ribosomal RNA (274 nucleotides) under uncultured bacterium. RNAcentral's name for it is "partial 16S ribosomal RNA". It matches the Rfam family "Bacterial small subunit ribosomal RNA", at positions 523 to 796 of the family's 1533-position model. The record is from RNAcentral.
AUACGGAGGAUGCGAGCGUUGUUCGGAAUUAUUGGGCGUAAAGAGCAUGUAGGCGGUCUGUUAAGUCUGGUGUGAAAGCCCGGGGCUCAACCCCGGAAGUGCAUUGGAUACUGGCAGACUUGAGUAUGGGAGAGGAAAGCGGAAUUCCGAGUGUAGGAGUGAAAUCCGUAGAUAUUCGGAGGAACACCAGUGGCGAAGGUGGCUUUCUGGACCAAUACUGACGCUGAGAUGCGAAAGCGUGGGGAGCAAACAGGAUUAGAAACCCCAGUAGUCC